This 140-nucleotide ribosomal RNA is filed under the name uncultured eukaryote. RNAcentral describes it as "partial 18S ribosomal RNA". It matches the Rfam family "Eukaryotic small subunit ribosomal RNA", at positions 1299 to 1458 of the family's 1831-position model. The record is from RNAcentral.
UGGUGGAGUGAUUUGUCUGGUUAAUUCCGUUAACGAACGAGACCUUAGCCAGCUAAAUAGUGCCACGUAACCUCGGUUACGUGAGCUACUUCUUAGAGGGACUAUGCGUUUCUAACACAAGGAAGUUUGAGGCAAUAACA